GAGUUUGAUCAUGGCUCAGGACGAACGCUGGCGGCGUGCCUAACACAUGCAAGUGGAGCGACGAACCAGACUUCGGUCUGGGGCAAAGCCGCGAACGGGUGAGUAACACGUGGGUAACCUGCCCUGAUGAUCGGGACAACCCGUCGAAAGACGGGCUAAUACCGAAUGUGUCCUCCGGCCAUAAGGCUGGUGGGGAAAGGAAGCUUCGGCCUCCGCAUUGGGAUGGGCCCGCGGUGCAUUAGCUAGUUGGUGAGGUAACGGCUCACCAAGGCGACGAUGCAUAGCUGGUCUGAGAGGACGAUCAGCCACACUGGGACUGAGACACGGCCCAGACUCCUACGGGAGGCAGCAGUGGGGAAUCUUGCGCAAUGCGCGAAAGCGUGACGCAGCAACGCCGCGUGGGUGAAGACGGCCUUCGGGUUGUAAAGCCCUUUCAGUUGGGACGAAGCUUUGCGAGUUAAUAGCUCGUUGGAGUGACGGUACCUUCAGAAGAAGCCCCGGCUAACUACGUGCCAGCAGCCGCGGUAAUACG
Molecule: ribosomal RNA, 532 nt
Filed under: uncultured eubacterium WR1145
Lineage: Bacteria
Description: bacterial SSU rRNA
Rfam family: Bacterial small subunit ribosomal RNA
Source: RNAcentral